This 206-nucleotide ribosomal RNA is filed under the name uncultured bacterium. RNAcentral's name for it is "partial 16S ribosomal RNA". It matches the Rfam family "Bacterial small subunit ribosomal RNA", at positions 568 to 774 of the family's 1533-position model. The record is from RNAcentral.
CGUGUAGGCGGUCUGGUAAGUGGGAUGUGAAAUGCCCCGGCUCACCCGGGGACCUGCAUCCCAAACUACCUAGCUUGAGUAUGGGAGAGGAUGAGGGAAUUCCUGGUGUAGCGGUGAAAUGCGUAGAUAUCAGGAGGAACACCGGUGGCGAAAGCGCUCAUCUGGCCCAAUACUGACGCUGAGGCGCGAAAGCUAGGGAGCAAACG